This 256-nucleotide ribosomal RNA is filed under the name uncultured bacterium. Its description in RNAcentral is "partial 16S ribosomal RNA". It matches the Rfam family "Bacterial small subunit ribosomal RNA", at positions 524 to 776 of the family's 1533-position model. The record is from RNAcentral.
UACGUAGGGUGCAGGCGUUAUCCGGAGUUACUGGGCGUAAAGGGCGUGUAGGUGGUUUUUGUAAGUCUGGCGUGAAAAUUUUUUCGGCUUAACCGGGAAAGGUCGUCGGAUACUGCAAGGCUAGAGGACGGUAGAGGCGUGUGGAAUUCCGGGUGUAGUGGUGAAAUGCGUAGAUAUCUGGAGGAACACCGGUGGCGAAGGCGGCAUUCUGGACCGAUAUUGACGCUGAGGAGCGAAAGCCAGGGGAGCAAACGGG